RNAcentral lists this ribosomal RNA (433 nucleotides) under Acanthamoeba sp. Its description in RNAcentral is "bacterial SSU rRNA". The stretch from base 1 to 388 matches the Rfam family "Eukaryotic small subunit ribosomal RNA", at positions 752 to 1115 of the family's 1831-position model. Lineage: Eukaryota; Discosea; Longamoebia; Acanthamoebidae. The record is from RNAcentral.
UUUCCGCGAAAAAAUAAGAGUGUUGUAAGCAGGCAGAUUUAACUCUCUGCCACCGAAUACAUUAGCAUGGGAUAAUGAAAUAGGACCCUGUCCUCCUAUUUACGUGUUGGUUUUUGAGGACCAGGGUAAUGAUUAAUAGGGAUAGUUGGGGGCAUUAAUAUUUAAUUGUCAGAGGUGAAAUUCUUGGAUUUAUGAAAGAUUAACUUCUGCGAAAGCAUCUGCCAAGGAUGUUUUCAUUAAUCAAGAACGAAAGUUAGGGGAUCGAAGACGAUCAGAUACCGUCGUAGUCUUAACCAUAAACGAUGCCGACCAGCGAUUAGGAGACGUUGAAUACAAAACACCACCAUCUUCAGCAUGGUUGUUUUCAAAUUGGUAUUUUCGUGGUUCUUUUUUGGUAACAUCCUCCUGGAGUUCGCAGAAUGCCUCCCCUAGC